GUUCAGUGCAUCAGUGGGAAGUGAGUGACUGGAGGUUUAUCUAUCACUGUGAAGGAGACCGACAUGUGCGCAUGUUAGCGCUGCAUUCGCUCUGGCUGUCACACCAAGUGGUGUGACCAGGACCUUGGGAGUUGAGGUCUCCUGUCCCGGAGGCUGGGUUGUCCAAGCUCAAGGACCCAGGCUCUCUGUAUGCAGUCCAGGCUGGCUGUGAACUCACUGUGGAGCUCAGGGUUAAAACCAGUUCUCCACUGCUCGUCCUCCUCACAGUUCUGCUGAGGUUUAACAGACCCAGUCCUCCAAGCAGAAUGUCUGACCCCCUGACAUGAAAUGUUGGUCCAUGACACUUUUUGAGAUCCUAGCCGCUUAGCCAAACCUGGGCAUUGUCAUGCUCUGAGAAAUAAACUGGACACUGGACAGAGGUCUGGCUUGUUCCUGGGGACAGGAAGUAGACGGGCGGGAGGUCUCCCCCACCUUGGGGUCGCAGAAUGGGGGAAUUCACGUGGGACUGGUGUGUGGUUUCAUUCUCGACAGCCCUGAUUUUAAAACACUUUUAAUUUUGAAUAGACUCAUAGACGCACAGGAAGUUGCAAAAGUUUUGUACUCUGAG
Molecule: long non-coding RNA, 607 nt
Filed under: Heterocephalus glaber (naked mole-rat)
Lineage: Eukaryota; Metazoa; Chordata; Mammalia; Rodentia; Bathyergidae
Description: lncRNA (ENSHGLG00100034304.1)
Source: RNAcentral